RNAcentral lists this ribosomal RNA (253 nucleotides) under uncultured bacterium. RNAcentral's name for it is "partial 16S ribosomal RNA". It matches the Rfam family "Bacterial small subunit ribosomal RNA", at positions 524 to 776 of the family's 1533-position model. The record is from RNAcentral.
UACAGAGGGGGCAAGCGUUGUUCGGAAUUACUGGGCGUAAAGGGCGCGUAGGCGGCGGGGUAAGUCGGGUGUGAAAUCUCAGAGCUCAACUCUGAAACUGCACUCGAUACUGCUCUGCUUGAGGACUGGAGAGGAGACUGGAAUUCACGGUGUAGCAGUGAAAUGCGUAGAUAUCGUGAGGAAGACCAGUGGCGAAGGCGGGUCUCUGGACAGUUCCUGACGCUGAGGCGCGAAGGCCAGGGGAGCAAACGGG